GUCAGAUUGCUUAUGUUUUCAGGCUUAGGUAAAUUCUCUAGAUCAGAAAUCAGACAACUUACAUUGGCACCUUUGGGCCACUAGGUGGAGACUGCGAACAGCCUCCAGGGUAGCUGCGGAUGUGCAGAAUCGGCAGCUGCGCAGUGGAGGAAAUGGAGGAUCCGAUGCUGGCAAGGUCGUUCACCCUCAGGAUGAAACCCGCUGAAGAAGAGAUCAACCCAAAGAUACAUGCAGAUUGGUUUCAGAAUCAGAAGAUCAUACUGAGGAAGCGAUGUUACCAAAUAAAUGCUGCAUUAUCAGGCAAAACUUUUUCAAUUUCGGAUUGGAAUGUCCAGUCAUUUUCCAAGGUACCUGGGUCAGGUCCCCUUUCACCACUGCUUUCAGAAAUCAGGGAGCUUUCAUAUAUUCAUAAAAGAGUUACACUGUUUCACAAAUAUUACUUUGUAGGAAAAUCCACAUUGAUGUUUCUAGAGAUUGUGGGCUUAUUAUUUAUGUUAUAAAAUUGUGUAAAUGUCCAAAAUAAUAUUAUACAAAUUAUUUUCAUUGCUCAGGACAUCCUUCUCCGUGGUCUAUACAUUCUUCAUUAGAGCCUUUCUCCUUACCUAGUUCCUUUGGUGAUGAGGAUUGUAGGCUGGUAAUCCUUUGCUCUAUUUCCAAAAUUCAUAAAUGAGGGAGUACAUACCAUAUUUGUCUUUUUGUGCCUGGGUAACAGGAGGAAAUGGCGGAGCUGGAAUUUUGAGUCAGGGGAAGAAUAGAGGAGAGAGAACAGGAUGAGAGUUCCAUUAACAGAGGGGGGCCUUUAUAGGUUCAAGGAGAGAUCUGGCACUAGUGAGAUUUGCAGAGAUCUCCAAGAAUGACACCAACUGACAAUCUAGGCAGUGGUGGAGAGGCUACCCUAAAUGCCCUUCCCCUGUAAUGAGACUGAUGACUGCUUUAUAUGACAUCCUAGAGCCCUCAUCCAGUGGCUGAUGGAAGCAGAGGAAGACACCCACAGCUAAACACUGGACUGAACUCCUGGAAUCCGUUGCAGAGAGGAGAGGUGAAGAGCAAAGAGGUGAGGACCCAGCU
Molecule: long non-coding RNA, 1068 nt
Filed under: Cricetulus griseus (Chinese hamster)
Lineage: Eukaryota; Metazoa; Chordata; Mammalia; Rodentia; Cricetidae
Description: lncRNA (ENSCGRG00000026007.1)
Source: RNAcentral